GAUGUUUAUGCUGUGUUAAUCCCCAGUUCUACAACUGCUAUUACAUUUGUCAUUCUGUCUCCCCUUUUCCCUAAUUCUUUUAUGUAUGUAUACAGUUUGAGGAAAUGUGCAUCUAUGGUCAGUCCUUUUUAAAAGACUUAAUGAAUUUAUUACUCUUUUGCAAAAAAUAUACCCACUGCUUAUAUGGGCAUACAAAUGCUACCCUAUUUUAAAUGUAGGUGGCGUAUGUGUUCGUGUUUUAAUGUAUUCAGAGCCAUUGGGCAAUAAGCAGUCCCGAACAUUGAAAACUCAAGCAGCAGACAACUAAACUGGUAGGUGGCAGCAGAGGAAGGAAUUCUUCAGAUUGAUGGCUACUGACUUAAAGUCUGCAUAGGAGAAGAGAUAGAGCAUGACAUACCAAGUGAAGCAAGGGGGACAAAAAUGGAAACAGGACUAAGAUUCUUGCAUUUUGACUCUAAAUGGUUCUUUUGAAGUAACCAGUGAUCUUUUUUGCUUACCCUCAUCAACAGAAUGGAUGAAGAUAGAUUUGACUGCUUUUUCAAGUGGAGAAUAUGAAUAUACAGAACAAGAAAGCAGUAACUCCAACCUGUUUGAUUCCGUCUAUUUUCUAAAUAAAGACACAAUGCACUGAAAAUAACAUA
This 641-nucleotide small RNA is filed under the name Pongo abelii (Sumatran orangutan). RNAcentral's name for it is "processed transcript". Lineage: Eukaryota; Metazoa; Chordata; Mammalia; Primates; Hominidae. The record is from RNAcentral.